AAAAGUCAUUUCCUGGUUGGCAAGUUUCAGUUAAAAAGAAGCAGAACGGCAGAAUUCAAAUAUCGAGGUGCCGAUGUCUCUGUGCUGGGUUUCGAGGUCUCAGGUCUCAAUGGUGCCUAUGUUCUUUGUUUCGGGGAAGUGGCCGAGGAGCAUGACUGCUCUGUGACUCACCCCGCCAUGCUGUGCCUGCAUCCACCAGCAGCCUUCAAGCUAAGUGACCAUGGGUUUUACAGAAGGAGUGCUGUUUCUUGAGCAUCAGCUCUCUAGAUCUUUUCCUCUCUCUUCUUGUUCUGCCCAAUAGAGCAAUACAGGCAAGGACACUGAAAUAUUGGCAAGGGCUAUUAAUUUUUGUCCCUUUUGUCCCUUCUGUUAGGGAAUUCUUCCUUAUUAACAUCAUUCCAGUUCUUCUUGAUGACUGCUAUUACACCUCUUGAUUUCCCCAUUGUUGAGGUAGCAUGUUCUGUACCCUCUUGGCUAUGUAAAUCCACUGAAGAAGGGUCAGAUUCAGGCUGUAUUAGAAUUUGUAUGCUACGGAUCUAGAGAAGACUCCCACUCAGUCCCCAACUUAAAUUUCAUCUUGCUGUUUGGCAGGUAUUGUCCUGGAAGGUGAGAAUUAUCACUAACCCAUGAAGAAGCAUGAUGGUCAAAAAGUGGGCUGAGGGCAAUGCAUGGAGGUGAUGGAAGAAUGAUGCUGGUUGUAUGUGGGUGACUCAGGGCUCUCCUGGUGUGCAGAGCACACAUCCCCAAUUCACUGUGCUGGUGGCUUAUGCUCUCCUCUAAAUGUACCUUAUGCAGACAUUAUAUUUCUCUUUUGAUAAUUUGAUAACUCUUUUGAUGGGCUUGAUAUUCGACUGCACAGAUAAGUGCAGCUUAUAGUUUCUUCUCUCUGUUCUUAGGACAACAGUGGAGGGUGAAUAUUCUUGUUUUUUAAUUGGAUUUUUUAUUUACAUUUCAAAUGUUAUCCCCUUUCUCAGUUUCCCUUCUAUAACCCACCUACCCCAUGCCUCUCCCCUGCUUCUAUGAGGGUGUUCCCCCUCCCCAACCACCCCUGCUCCUGCCCUGACAUUCCCCUACACUGGGAGGUUCAGCCUUGGCAGGACCAAGGGCUUCUCCUCCCAUUGGUGCCAAACUAUCUUUUGCUACAUUUGCAGCUGGAGCCAUGGAUCUGUCCGUGCAUACUCUUUAGUUGGUGGUUUAGUGCCUGGGAGCUCUGGUUGGUUGAUAUUGUUGUUCUUCUUAAGGGGUUGCAAACCCCUUCAGUUCCAUCAGUCCUUUCUCUAACUCCUCCAUUAGGGACCCUGUACUGAGUCCAAUGGUUGGCUGUGAGCACCUGCCUCUGUAUUUGUCAUGCUGUGACAGAUCCUCUCAGGAGACAGCUAUAUCAGGCUCCUGUCAUCAUGUUCUUCUUGGCAUCAGCAAUAUUGUCUGUGUUUGGUGGCUGUAUAUGGGCUGGAUCCCCAGGUGGGGCAGUAUCUGGAUGGCCUUUCCUUCAGUCUCUGCUCCAAACUUUGUCUACCUAUCUCCUCCUAUGAUUAGUUCUCUCUUCUAAGAAGGACUGAAGCAUCUACACUUUGGUAGUCCUUCUUGAGCUUCAUAUGAUCUGUGGACUGUAUCUUAGCUUUUGGGCUAAUCUACUUAUCAGUGAUUGCAUACCAUGUGUGUUUUUUUGUGAUUGGGUUACUUCAUUCAGGAUGACAUUUUCUAGUUCCAUCCAUUUGCCUAUGAUUUCAUGAAGUCAUUGUUUUUAAUAGCUGAGUAAUACUCCAUUGUGUAAAUGUACCACAUUUUCUAUAUCCAUUCCUCUGUUGAAGGGCAUCUGGGUUCUCUCCAGCUUCUGUUUAUUAUAAAUAAGACGUCUAUGAACAUAGUAGAGCAUGUGUCCUUGUUAUACAUUGGAGCAUCUUUUGGGUAUAUGCCCAGGAGAGGUAUAGCUGGGUCCUCAGGUAGUACUAUGUCCAAUUUUCUGAGGAACCUCCAGACUGAUUUCCAGAGUGGUUGUACCAGCUUGCAAUCCCACCAACAAUGGAGGAAUGUUCCUCUUUCUCCACAUCCUCGCCAGCAUCUGUUGUCACCUGAGUUUUUUAUCUUAGCCAUUCUGACUGGUGUGAGGUGGAAUCUCAGGGUUGUUUUGAUUUGCAUUUUUCCUGAUGACUAAAGAUGUUGAAAAUUUCUUUAGGUGCUUCUCAGCCAUUCUAUAUUCUUCAUUUGAGAAUUCUUUGUUUAGCUCUGUACCCCAUUUUUAAUAGGGUUAUUUGAUUCUCUGGAGUCUAUCUUCUUGAGUUCUUUGUAUAUAUUGGAUAUUAGUCCUCUAUCAGAGUAGGAUUGAUAAAGAUCUUUUUCCAAUCUGUUGGUUGUUCUUUUGUCUGGGGGAAUCACCAUCCCUGACCUCAAACUGUAUUACAGAGCAAUAGUGAUAAAAACUGUAUGGUAUUGGUACAGAGACAGUCAGUUAGAUCAAUGGCAUAGAAUUGAAGACCCAGAAAUGAACCCACAUGCCUAUGGUUACUUAAUCUUUGACAAAGGAGCCAAAACCAUCCAGUAGAAAGAUAGCAUUUUCAACAAAUGGUGCUGGUUCAACUGGAGGUCAGCAUGUAGAAGAAUGCAGAUCGAUCCAUGCUUAUCAUCCUGUACAAAGCUUAAGUCCAAGUGGAUCAAGGACCUCCUCAUCAAACCUGAUACACUCAAACUAAUAGAAGAAAGAGUGGGGGAAGAUCCUUAAACACAUGGGCACUGAGGAAAAUUUCCUGAACAGAACACUAAUGGCUUAUGUUCUAAGAUCAAGAGUCAACAAAUGGGAUCUCAUAAAAUUGCGAAGCUCAUAUAAGGUAGAGGGUAAAUAUUCUUGUUGCUCCCUUUGUGCACAUGGGGAAAGAAACCUAAGAGAAAUGAAGUAACAGUAGUAAAUGGUAAAGGAAUCUGUACUCAAAUAUACCUUUGGUACCAAAGCCUGACUUUUUGCCACUAAAUUUUGCUGCUUCCAUUGGUGGUAAAGGUUUAACAAACUCAAAUGAUGCAUCAUUUUUUUUUGCUACAACUAAUAUCCAAGUCCAGGUAGUAUAUAAAGAGAGAUCUUUUGAGCACUUGCCCUUUCAGUUGGAUGUCUGACUGGGCAGCCUUGUCUAUUUGUCUUCUGGUGAGAUCCCCCUUGCUGUGUCUCUUAGUGAUUAGUGUCAUGAUGUGAAAACAUGCAAGUUGAGUGAUUAUGUAGUCAUAUAGGAAACCAAAGAGGAAGCAAGUCAUUCUUUUAUGUAACCACCCUUUUAGAACUAAACAGGGCUCCAAAAGAACUACAUUAAUUUCUUCUGUGGACAGUAUAUGGUGUCACUUUGCAUUGGGCACAUUUACCACUGUUACAUUAAGGAAUGAACUUCCAGCACAUGAUCCCCUGGGGAAGCAGUCAUGUCCAAACCAUACCCUCCUUUAAAUUAGUGAUGAGCUGUAGCUCCUUCGUAGGCACUUAUACGAGCACAUUGUACAUAACUUUGCCCAACUUCACGAGCAGCAAGGUUUUGAUGAAGAUUGACUCUAGCAUUAAUCUUCACCCCAGUUGCUACAAAUCUGCUCGCUCUUCUGUAAAACCUGUCAUUAAACAUAUACCUGCACACCAUGCCCCUGAACUCCAGGUUUUUUGUGUAAUAAAGCAAUAUUGUUUCCCUACAUGUUGCUUUCCUAUAAAUUAAAGCACUUUUUCUUUUAUUUUUAGUGUUUCUAUUACCAUGUAUGGAUUAUAUAUAAUACCUUUCAUUGAAACAUUUCCAGACAUGUAAAUGAGGUAUUUUGAUCAUAAUCAACCCAACUACCCUUCCAUUGCCCUUCAGAGCUCUGCUAACACCUUUGCUCUUCCCAAUCACACAUGGUUCUACUUUCAUGUAUUUUUUACAUCACCCUAGAAGCUACAAGCUUCACUGAGGUGAAACAUCUUGUUUGUGGCUAAACAACUGAAGAAAUUUUCUCUCUUCUGUUAUUUGCACUCUGUAUAUAAACUCUCACAGAGGGGUAGCAACCCAUGACCCUUUCCCCUUUCCUUGACAAAUUGUGAUAGACCUAUCAUUAGGAGACUGUGUGUAAAUAAAAACAGAUGCUCUGAGUUCGUGAUGCCAACAGCCAUGCCAUACUUAGAAGUCAGCAUUUCACACAACUCCUCAUUUCUUUUGCUCUUGUUCUUUGUCUCUUCUUAUGCAGUGUUUCCUCAGUCUUGAAAUGGGUUAUAAAUAUGUCCCACUUAAAGCUGUGUAUUCAAAAGUCAUUUAUUAUCUUUACUUCGAAUAGUUAUGAGUCUCUGUAGUCAUUGUUGUGUGGACUAUGGCAAAAAGGAGCUUCUUGUAUCAAAGCUAAUAGCAGAUUUAUUCUUUGGGCAUAAAAUUUUGUAGAAGGCAAUUUAAUAGCUACAUCACAUUCACUUAAGGAAACAACAACAGUAGUUUCCUCAUUAAGGCCUGUAACACUACCAGCUAAAGUGUUUUGUCUUGGUUUGCAGCAGUGGAUUGUAGUUCCUUCCUUUGGAGUAGGCAUAAUCCAACUAGAAAACAUUUGGUCACUCUCACAACAGACUUGACACACUAGUGUAACAGUGGGUUCAUUUUCUGUGCCUCUUCAGAUUGGUGUACACAUGGUUCAUAGCUGAGUAAGACUGUCUAUGAUAAUUCUCUCCCAGAAGCCUGCACAGCUUCUGAAAUAAUGAGGGCUAGACAGUGUGGAGGAAGUGUCCAGUGAACUUGAUUUCUCUUUGCCUUGUAAUAAAGGCAUUUGGCAUCUUCAGCAAUAGGAUCUCACCAUCCAGUUUUGCUGACAAUCAACAGUGGUAUUGUCUGUAUUAUUUUAGGAGCGUUGGGGACUUCUCUGAUAAACAGUUUGUAGGGAGACAGAUAACAACCAGGACUGGGAUUUUUUACUUAACAACCUACAGCUUCUAGAAGCAGCUUUAUCCACUCACAAAGGAUACGCUCAUUCAAACGUUAAAAAAAUACUGUAUUUGGUCAGCAUACUACUAACCAUAUUCCUGUAUGGCUUUUUUUCAUACAUCAUUAGGUUUGGUUGACCCUCCCCCAUUUCCUCCUCAUUCUAUCUUCCUAUCCAACUUGCCACAUAAACCUGUCUGCAAUAUUCCUCCUUCCACUAUUAUAACAUUUAAUACAACCCACCUACUUUUUUUAUUGGUCCAAUGCCUGAACAUUCAUUUCAUUAAUUAAUAUAUGUAUUUAUAUAUUAUUCAAGCUUUUAUGAGAAAGAAUUCAUUAAAAUGUCUACUAGGAGCCCGAUUUUCUCUUUAACCACCGGUUUAUUAUGACAUUUGUUAAGAUGUAUUUAUAAAUCAUCCUCAUUCACUAUUUAGAGUUCCAUCACUGUAACAAAAUCCCUGACAAAAUUAACUUAAAGGAGGAAAGGUUUAAUUUGGCUUGUGGUUUCAGUCUGUUAUUCGCUAGCUCACUUCUCUGGUCUUUCGGCAAGACAGAAGUAUCACCUCAUGGUGGUUGGGAAGCACAGACAGUUAGGGAAGGGUUGGAAACAGUCUGUACUCUUCCUGGGCAUACCUCCGUGACACUUUUCCUUCAACUAAGGGUAGCUUCUACUUUCCACCUCCUGCCAAUAACAUUAUUAAAUUGUGAAUGCACCAAUGGGUGAGGAUGUCAAUAAAUAAAUUCAUAAAGAAUACUCAACAUUCUAUUAUAUACUAAGUUGCCACCUGUCUUAGUCAGAGCUUUAUUGUUGUGAAAAGACACCAUGAUUGUGGCAAGACUUAUAAAGGAUAACAUUCAAUUGGGGUUGGUCUACAGUUCAGAGGUUCUGUUCUUUAUUAUCGUAGUGGGAAACCUGGCAGCAUGCAGACAGACAUAGGGCUGGAGGAGCUGGGAGUUCUACAUCUUAAUCUACAGGCAGGAAAAGGAGAUUAUGUGUCACACUGGCAUAGCUUGAAUAUAGGAGACUUCAAAGUUUGCCUCCACGGUGACACACUUCCUUCAGCAAGGCUAUACGUACUCCAGAAAGGCCACACUUCCUGACAGCAUCACUCUCUAUGGCCUAUGGGGACCAAUUGCAUUCAAACUACGACUACACCACCUCUGAAUGCGACUUUAGAAAGGACCAAAGCUUCCGAGAUACAUGAUGUACCAGAGAGAAUUUCAGGUACUACCAAUGACAAUUAUAGGUGUUUUACAUAAUUUCUUUUCUAAAAUUUGGUUUUGAUAAACUUGGAUGUAUCUGUGUCUCUACUUGCUAUGCCCUGUCUCAAGAACAUGUUUUAAACAUGACUAGAGGGUGCUUACUUUCCCUCACUAAUUUCCUAUAAUUAGUUUAAACUUAGUACUUACAACCCACAUUUUCUUCAGUGAAUCUUAUCCUCUGUUUAGCACUCUCUACUUGUUUUAUUAUUUUGUUUAAUAAUUUAUUUAUUAUUAAAGAAGAGUGGGCUAGUAAUGGACAAUAAGUAGUGAGCCUUCAACAACUAUGUAAGACUCAAAGGUAGAGUUUGAGUGAGAGAAUUUGUUAUUUACAACACAACAAAUAAUAAGAACAUUGAUUAUACCAUUAAUUUUUCCUGGUCCUCAAGCCUUAGAAGCAAUUCAGUGGGCCCAGUAGUACUAGGUUGGUCAACAGGAAAAGAACAUAAAGUAGAGAGUUGAGCUCUUUACAUAAAAAUAGAAACUAAAUGGCAGCUCCUCUUCUACCCUGGGAAGCAACAGUCACCUUGCAAUCCCUUUGAAGUUGCUUGAUCUUUAUUUUCCUGAGAAUAGCUAUGGAAGUUGCCUAACAAUAAAGGGAAGUCAAGCUUUGAUACGCCCAACAAGGAUGCUCAGGAAUCCACAGGACUCACUGUGGACACACUCUCCACAGUCUGCCCACUUUUUUAACAGUCUUAACUCAAUGCCUAUUUCAUGUUGCUGAAUAGCUCUGAUGGUAUAGCAGGAGUUAGGACCCAUUAAUUCAAUUUGUUUGUGUAUUACUUAAGAAUGUCGUCAGUAAGACUGUGAUCACUAUGAUGAAACCAGUAUUCAGUAUUAGUUUUAGCCAUGUGCAUAGCAUCCUUGACCCAACCUGCUGAAUUUCCUCUAGAGAGAUCUAGUAAGGUUUACCUCAGAUGGUUGUUUAGGUUCUUUUCCUAGAACAAAGUAGAGAGUUGUGACUGACAGUAUUAAUGUAAAUACAACAUGGGGUAAAAUUCGACAUACAGUCUUCCACAGUCAGUCAUAAAGCAGUUCCAUGCCUGUCUACUGUCUUUUAUGACCCAUUCAAGUUGAUAUUAACCUACUGAUGGCUAGGUUUCUCUCUCACUGUCUCUUAAUGCUAAGUUUAAGGAAGGGUUUAUAAUUGUCAUAUCUCUGGACUUUAAUAUGGAACCAGGAGUCAGCAUGAUACUGAAGGAAUAUCAUCAUUUACCUGGUGCCCGGAUUACAGGAAGGAUUAAUGUCAGUUCUAAAAAUUGCAGUGGAUAGCAGGUGGGCCAAACAUCAACCUUCAUCCAGAGCUGAAUGGUCUACAUCACACUGUCCUUCACAUUAUACCCAUGACUAAAAUGGAAAUGAUGCUCCAGCUAAGUAUUUCUUGAUAAACUUCACUUUAGUUACAAUAUAUGUGGGUUUGUUUAAGUCUUGUGCAUAAUGCUAGGCAGAGACUCAAUUGCUAUACAUAUGAAACCCACAUUGCUUAGACCUCACAAGACACAUACGAAUGAGUCACUGUUGUGGAAGAUUGUUAGUCCCUGUAGGGCUGUGUAUGGGGGGAGGCAGAACCACACUAGGAACUGUUGACAAUAUUCUCAAGCCAACAAAAUGACUCACAGAUGUCCCUGUUGGCAUCACAUCUGGAUAAAGACGAUAAAUUCAGUAGUGAGUCACUUAAUUGGUAUAGCAGCCAAUUGACUUGGGAAGGACAUGUGACUGCUUUGCCAAGCUCUGGGACCAAAUAUAGGGGAAAAGAGAUGUACUUAUCUGAACAUCUAGAUUAUGCUUGGAAUCUGAAAAGUUCCCCGCAGCCCAUAUUUUGAACACUUGAAGUGCUGGUUUGAAAGCUGUGGAGCCUUUAGGAGGUGGGUCCUGGUGGCCAGAAAUGGGUUUCUAUAGGUGCCUUUCAGAUGUUAUAUUUUGUCCUGGUUCUAGUCUAGCCUUCUUUGUUUCCUGAUCAUUAGCUCUGCUGUACACUGUCACCAAUGUGGAUGAAGAUAAUCUGCCAUGACUUCUCCAACAUAAAGCCUGAGAUGUCUGAAACGAACCCAGAUGAGCAUUUUCUCCCAGAAAACUUUUUUUGGAGUCAGGCACUGAGUCAUACUGUUGUAAAAGUAGUGAACGUAGAUCCUUUCAACACUCGUCAGGAGCUGACCCUGCUGCCUUAGAUAUUAGAGCUUGUUUUCUCUCUUCAUAGUCACAUAGCUUAUUCUAAUCUAAUGGUCACUUCUCCCUUUUCCCAGACUAAGGGGCCAAUAAUGUGAAAUGUAGUGAUGCAGGUGACCCGGCCACUAUUUUAUUAGGCCAUUGUGGGGGACUACGAGGUCUAAAAAUUCUACAGGUAGCUCAUUCUAAUGAUCUGUGUUGUUCUUUGUCCAAUAAGUGGUGUUAAGAAGUUCAAGCAACAGAUUGGAGUGUCCUGCACCAUAGAUAAAGCUAGGCCGCCAGUCUAUACAAUGUGAGAAAAGACAGGAAAACAGGCUGUGUAUUGUCAGAAUGUUAGAAUCACAGAUAUGCAGAGGCUAUCCCUAUCCUGUUCUCGGCCUCUUCUGUCCUGAUUCCCCGAAGCUGUACAUCUUCCCUCUUUUUAGAGCAGCUACAUUUCCUACACUUACUGUCUGCAUAAGAUGCUAAUCCACGAACAGCAGGAUUUUCUAACCUGCACUUCUUUUUCAAUAAGCUAUUUAAGUAUCAUUAUGUCUUUUCAUGAUGCCAGUGGUCUUGAGAUUAUAAGAAUCUGAGGUUUCUAUUGGAUAUUAUGUUCAUUUUCCUACUGUUGAUGUUUUGUUGCUAGUAGGAUGCCAUUGUCUUAUUGAAAGUAGCUUGGAUAUCCCAAAGCAUUGUACACCUUAGUCUUCAAUGCUACCACAGUAGAACUGAUGCUGAAAGAACCAUUGAUGAUGGUUAGAUGCUCGUGGUAGGAGUAUCAGUGUGAUCUAUUGGCCAGGAGUAGGUGGACACCUUGAACUUCUUUACAAGAUUCUAUAGUUUCUGGACUUAGACAAAGCAGAGAGGUCUUAGAAUCAGGUCUAGCCUAUCUUCUCAUUAAAGAUGAGGUUUGGGAAGAAGUAAAGCAAUGGAGGUACCAAGGACAUACUUGGUUCUCAGGAAGCAUACUACUGUUUUAUUCAGUACAGUGAUGAUAAUCUCCAUGGAGGAAUAUGUCCCAGACUAGCCAUUGCAUGGCACCUUGAGUUUUUUCUAUAUGUCCUCUCUGAGGAUCAAUUUCCUAGUUAUUUUCAACUGAGCCCACUGACUCUUUAAAUGAUUCAAUUAAUUCUAUCAUGCUUUUUUGCUUUUUAAAGAAUGGUUCUUGAAUUAACUGGCAUAUUACAAGGAAAGAGGAAGGACGGGCUGUGGGAAGAACUCUAGCACUGAGCUGGGUGAAUGCCAAAUCCAGAGUGUGUAUUGUAAGAGCUAUGUGAGGAGAACAGGCCUAUACAAUAGUCUGGUCCAAUGGACACCUCUGGCGGAGCCACGGUCUGGAAAACCAUAUCAGCAGAAAGUCUCCACCUGAAUAUUUGUUCACUACGUUCAGAGAAUGAUUGAUUACCUCUUUUGUCAAAAUUGGAUGUUUUCAAGUGUUUAUUUUGGAGAGAGAGGGAAGGGGGAGAAAUAGCUUGCUUAUGGAGUUGAAUUGCUGGAUUUUUCAGCAGUCCUAACAAUGCUAGUCAAAAAUUUUUCUGUUUUCUGAGCUUUCAAAGCCACAACACGCACAUCAUAUGUGGUGUGUGUGUGUGUGUGUGUGUGUGUGUGUGUGUGUGCUGUGUUUAUGGGUCCUCUUUCCUCAUUCCUGAUAGAGACAAGGGAAGCUAUCCAUAAGGACUACUAUGGACUCAGUGGAGGCAAGAAGUGAUGUGGCAAAGUAGAGUCUUCCUGUCAGUGACAGUAUCCAGGGAAAUAUGUGGCACCAACAUGUGGAAUGGAAAUCUAGGCAGAAUGUGGACAUUUUGAUACAUUUCAGCUUUUUCUGAAUCUAGAAUUAUCAUGAGAGCACAACUCCCAAUGAUUCAAAUUAAAUGAGAUGUCAAAAUUAAUAUAUUUAUCAUUAGAAUAUUAAGUGAUUAUUAAAGUUAGGAUUAUGAUAGCUUUGUGAUAGCAUACAUGUUUAUAGUACAUGGCUAAGUUGUUAUAUACAAGUUAUGUUGAUUUAAAUAUACAUUACAUAAAAAGAUACAGCAAAGUAAAAUAGUGUCAAGGUUUGCUACCUCUAUUUUACUUAUUUUUAAAUAUUUUUGAUGAGGUCAAGUCAAUUUUCAAAACACUUUAAUUAGAAAAAUGAAUAAGAAUAAAUUAACCAUACCUAAAUAUAAACUUCUUUCUGAUAGAUAUGCUAAUUUAUUUAUGGCAAUUUUAACAUUAUUUGGCCCUUCCUCCACCUUGAGAAAGGCAUAUUUGGAGUUUGGAUUCUCCACAAACAAAGCUAACAGGAUCUGCCAAUAUUUAAUGAAAUUUCUGUGUUGAUGCAAAAAUCACAACUCUCAUCUUAAAGGAAACAUAAAACUGUGUAUUCUGGAACCAUUUUGAAUGACCAUAACCUGAGAAUGCAGAUUUAGGAACCAAAAUUCCAUGUUUUGAUGUGGAAGCAGUUUCAUGAAGGUUUAUUGUUUUACAGAACAAAGAAAUUUAUAAAUCAAGGCAAGUUCAAACUACACUAGUGGGUACACCAGAGAGGCCAGUAAAGCAUGAUGAGCUGAGAGGAGCUAGUCUAUAGGCCCAAGAUGAGAUUCUUAGCUUUGGAGUUGCUAUAAGUCAGUGAUCUGCUGAAUUAAUAGAUUCCAAAAAGACACUGCCAGUAUGAAGUUUUAUAGCCAUUGGGCUGACUGAAAUCAGCCCAAUUUAUUCCAUGAGUAUUUGUGUUAAUAUGUAUUUUGUAAUUUGUAUUAACUCAAGUGUCCUUUGCAUUUUUGUCAAUUAUGCACAGAAUUCUAAAUCAAAUUUUAAGAGAACUCACCUUAUAAACUUUAGUCCAUGUUUUCAAGCAUCUACAUUUUCUUUUUUUUUAUUUUUUACAUUUUAUUUUUUUUAUUAACUUGAGUAUUUCUUAUAUACAUUUCAAGUGUUAUUCCCUUUCCCGGUAUCCGGGCAAGCAUCCCCCUCCCCCCUCCCCUUCCUUAUGGGUGUUCCCCUCCCAACCCUCCCCCCAUUG
Molecule: non-coding RNA, 11307 nt
Organism: Rattus norvegicus (Norway rat)
Lineage: Eukaryota; Metazoa; Chordata; Mammalia; Rodentia; Muridae
Source: RefSeq, a predicted model, not a curated record